CAGCGCCACGCCGCCACCCCCCAUCCCUCGCCGUUCCCCUCGGGCUCUCUUCCCCCUCCCCCUCCUCUCGCGCUGCCUGCCUUUAAUUCGGGGGCCGCGCACGCCGCACGCCCUCCCGUCCCGUCUCCGAGUCUCUCCUCCCUCCCUCAGCGGCGCCGGCACGGUGGCUAGGCUAGUCUGAUCCCCGUGCUUGCCUUGUCUAGGCCCUUCUCCUUCUAGAUCCCGGCCGCGCGCGGCUAGCACGCAGCUCCUGCGCCUAGAGCUAUAAACGCACGGCCUCUCCUAAAUAAUCGGCAUCCUCUCGCUUGCUGCUGCCGAGAGGCGGGUUGUGUUCAAGUAGUGUUCAACUCGGUUUAGGAAUCGAGCCGGACGGCGAGGUUGCUAAAGCUACAAGCUUCUGCGGCACAGCGUCGUCGAGGAGAAGCUCGCUCGCUUCUGCGGGAGGAAGGUCUAGGCAGCAGCGGUGGUGUGGUGGUGAGGGCGAGCCCCGGCGAGGAAGGAGCAGCUGCUUCGCACAGGCGCGCGAGGAGCGCGGCCGAUCGUGACCGUGAAGCUGGCGGCCGGCAAGUGGUGGGAGCGGCCAGAUGACACGGCCAUGCCCGGAAUGGACCCCGGCGGAGGCGGCAGCUCGCGCUACUUCCAUCAGCUGCUCCGGCCGCAGCAGCCCUCGCCGCUGUCGCCCAACUCCCACGUCAAGAUGGAGCACCACAAGAUGUCGCCAGACAAGAGCCCGGUGGGCGGCGAGGCCGAGCCGGGCGGCAGCGGCAGCGGCAGCGGCGCCGGCGGCGGCGACCAGCCGUCCUCGUCGGCCAUGGUCCCGGCCGAGGGUGGCAGCGGGUCAGGCGGGCCCACGCGGCGCCCGCGCGGGCGCCCGCCGGGCUCCAAGAACAAGCCCAAGCCGCCCAUCAUCGUGACGCGUGACAGCCCCAACGCGCUGCACUCGCACGUCCUCGAGGUCGCGGCCGGCGCAGACGUCGUCGACUGCGUCGCCGAGUACGCGCGCCGCCGGGGCCGCGGCGUGUGCGUGCUCAGCGGCGGGGGCGCCGUCGUGAACGUGGCGCUCAGGCAGCCCGGCGCGUCGCCCCCCGGGAGCAUGGUGGCCACGCUGCGGGGCCGGUUCGAGAUCCUCUCCCUCACCGGCACGGUGCUGCCCCCGCCAGCUCCCCCCGGCGCCAGCGGCCUCACCGUUUUCCUCUCCGGCGGGCAGGGCCAGGUCAUCGGCGGGAGCGUCGUGGGCCCGCUGGUGGCCGCGGGCGCCGUCGUCUUGAUGGCGGCGUCGUUCGCGAACGCCGUGUACGAGCGGCUGCCGCUGGAGGGGGAGGAAGAGGAGACAGCCGCGGCCGCCGCCGGAGCGGAACCGCAAGAUCAAGUGGCGCAGUCGGCGGGACUCCACGGGCAGCAGCCGACUGCCUCCCAGUCCUCUGGUGUGACCGGAGGGGACGUGGGCGGCGGCGGCAUGUCGCUCUACAACCUCGCCGGGAAUGUAGGGGCCUACCAGCUCCCGGGAGACAACUUCGGAGGCUGGAGUGGAGGCGGCGGCGGCGGUGUCCGGCCACAGUUCUGAUCCAUGCCUUGCCACCCCCAAUUCUCAUCGGCGGCAUAUGAAGACGUACAUCACAUAGAUUCAAAUGGUGCACGCAGAAGCUAGGCUUGCUAUCCAGAACUGAGACAUGCAUGCUGGAUUGUUCAUUGGAGAGAUCGACCUUUCAUCUGGGUGCUGCUAGAAUAUAAUGCAUGUGUUUGCACACGGGGAGGAUGCAUUGGAAAUCAUCUGGGCGUUUAAAAAAAGAUAGUAGUGGUGGUUAAUCAAGGGACAAGAGGAAAGCUAUGGAUUCAUGCAAGGCCUAGCUCAAUAAACUGAAAGCCUGCAGUGCAGUGGGGGACACUGGCCAUAAGACGCCAAGCCCAAAAUUGACGCUGCCUGCCUGCCUGGUGGCUGCAGCGACCACAUCUGCCUCUGCGACGGGACGAGAUCCUGCACCUUGCACCCUCCAAGUACAAAUGCACAAUUCUGGAAAAGGGGAGGAAGCUUUCGCUUUUGCAUAAUUUGUGGGGAGGCCGCGGACGACGCCCCCCUCCGGCUUUGGAACUUGCUCAUGGCUUUGUAACUUUUGUCGUUGGAGCUGGAGAUAGGAGUAGAUGCCAAUGCGCCGGGCCAAGAGCCCAGAGCUGGUCAAGGCGUUCUCUCUCCUCUCCCUAGUCACUACUAGGAGUAACACCUCUCUCGUUCCCAUGUCCACUUGUCGACCCGGUACGGUAUGUACACUUUGUAUGUCCCUCUCGAUGGCAAUCCUUUAUCUAAAAAAAUGCAUUAUUGGCAAUAUAUACAUGCUGCAGACAC
RNA transcript from Panicum virgatum (switchgrass), 2341 nucleotides. It is a transcript of the gene named AT-hook motif nuclear-localized protein 25-like, with no coding region annotated. Lineage: Eukaryota; Viridiplantae; Streptophyta; Magnoliopsida; Poales; Poaceae. The transcript is spliced from 3 exons. The record is from RefSeq and is a predicted model, not a curated record.